This 253-nucleotide ribosomal RNA is filed under the name uncultured bacterium. RNAcentral's name for it is "partial 16S ribosomal RNA". It matches the Rfam family "Bacterial small subunit ribosomal RNA", at positions 524 to 776 of the family's 1533-position model. The record is from RNAcentral.
UACGAAGGGGACUAGCGUUGUUCGGAAUCACUGGGCGUAAAGCGCACGUAGGCGGGUUGUUAAGUCGGGGGUGAAAUCCUGGAGCUCAACUCCAGAACUGCCUUCGAUACUGGCGACCUUGAGUCCGGGAGAGGUGAGUGGAACUCCGAGUGUAGAGGUGAAAUUCGUAGAUAUUCGGAAGAACACCAGUGGCGAAGGCGGCUCACUGGCCCGGUACUGACGCUGAGGUGCGAAAGCGUGGGGAGCAAACAGG